UACGUAGGGUGCAAGCGUUAAUCGGAAUUACUGGGCGUAAAGCGUGCGUAGGUGGUUUGUUAAGUCUGUUGUGAAAGCCCCGGGCUCAACCUGGGAAUGGCAAUGGAUACUGGCAAGCUAGAGUGCGGUAGAGGGUAGUGGAAUUCCCGGUGUAGCGGUGAAAUGCGUAGAGAUCGGGAGGAACACCAGUGGCGAAGGCGGCUACCUGGACCAGCACUGACACUGGAGGCACGAAAGCGUGGGGAGCAAACAGG
This 254-nucleotide ribosomal RNA is filed under the name uncultured bacterium. RNAcentral's name for it is "partial 16S ribosomal RNA". It matches the Rfam family "Bacterial small subunit ribosomal RNA", at positions 524 to 776 of the family's 1533-position model. The record is from RNAcentral.